RNAcentral lists this ribosomal RNA (253 nucleotides) under uncultured bacterium. RNAcentral's name for it is "partial 16S ribosomal RNA". It matches the Rfam family "Bacterial small subunit ribosomal RNA", at positions 524 to 776 of the family's 1533-position model. The record is from RNAcentral.
UACGUAGGGGGCAAGCGUUGUCCGGAUUUAUUGGGCGUAAAGAGCGUGUAGGCGGCCAUGUAGGUCCGUUGUGAAAACUUGAGGCUCAACCUCGAGACGCCGAUGGAAACCAUGUGGCUAGAGUCCGGAAGAGGAGAGUGGAAUUCCUGGUGUAGCGGUGAAAUGCGCAGAUAUCAGGAGGAACACCUAUAGCGAAGGCAGCUCGCUGGGACGGUACUGACGCUGAGGCGCGAAAGCGUGGGGAGCGAACAGG